GAGACGCUGGCGGCGUGCCUAACACAUGCAAGUCGAACGCGAGUGUCUUUUUCGUAAGAAAGUUGACACUUGAGUGGCGAACGGGUGAGUAACACGUAGGUUAUCUACCCUCAAGACGGGGACAACCCAGGGAAACUUGGGCUAAUACCGGAUGUGAGCAACUUUUAGUUGUUUGAAAGGUGGCGUAAGCUGUCGCUUGGGGAUGAGCCUGCGUCCUAUUAGUUAGUUGGUGAGGUAACGGCUCACCUAGGCAAUGAUAGGUAGGCGGCCUUAACGGGUGGUCGCCCACACUGGGAUUGAGAUACGGCCCAGACUCCUACGGGAGGCAGCAGUCGAGAAUAGUCUACAAUGGUCGGAAGACUGAUAGUGCGACGCCGCGUGAACGAUGAAUCCCUUCGGGGUGUAAAGUUCUUUUAUAUGUGAGCAGUGCUUCUUAUAUUAACAGUAUGGGGAGAGAGAUAUUAGCAUAUGAAUAAGCAACGGCUAACUCCGUG
This 494-nucleotide ribosomal RNA is filed under the name uncultured bacterium. RNAcentral describes it as "bacterial SSU rRNA". It matches the Rfam family "Bacterial small subunit ribosomal RNA", at positions 32 to 507 of the family's 1533-position model. The record is from RNAcentral.